Molecule: transfer RNA, 64 nt
Filed under: Vespa crabro (European hornet)
Lineage: Eukaryota; Metazoa; Arthropoda; Insecta; Hymenoptera; Vespidae
Description: tRNA-Cys
Source: RNAcentral
GUCUUAAUAGUUUAAAAAAAUAUUAAAUUGCAAAUUUAAAGAUAAUAUUAAUUAUUUUAAGAUU